AGAGCGAACGCUGGCGGCAUGCUUAACACAUGCAAGUCGCACGGGCAGGGGCAACUCUGUCAGUGGCGGACGGGUGAGUAACGCGUAGGUAUCUAUCCUUGGGUGGGGGACAACUGUGGGAAACUACAGCUAAUACCGCAUGAUAACUGAGGUUUAAAGGCGCCCAGGGUAACUUGGGUGGUCGCCUGGGGAGGAGCCUGCGUACGAUUAGCUAGUUGGUGGGGUAAAGGCCUACCAAGGCGACGAUCGUUAGCUGGUCUGAGAGGAUGAUCAGCCACAUUGGGACUGAGACACGGCCCAAACUCCUACGGGAGGCAGCAGUGGGGGAAUAUUGGACAAUGGGCGCAAGCCUGAUCCAGCAAUGCCGCGUGUGUGAAGAAGGUCUUCGGAUUGUAAAGCACUUUCGACGGGGACGAUGAUGACGGUACCCGUAGAAGAGCCCGGCUAACUUCGUGCCAGCAGCCGCGGUAA
RNAcentral lists this ribosomal RNA (471 nucleotides) under uncultured bacterium. RNAcentral describes it as "SSU rRNA". It matches the Rfam family "Bacterial small subunit ribosomal RNA", at positions 26 to 523 of the family's 1533-position model. The record is from RNAcentral.